UACGUAGGGACCAAGCGUUGUUCGGAUUUACUGGGCGUAAAGGGCGCGUAGGCGGCGUGGUAAGUCAGCUGUGAAAUCUCCGAGCUUAACUCGGAACGGUCAGCUGAUACUGCUGUGCUAGAGUACAGAAGGGGCAAUCGGAAUUCUUGGUGUAGCGGUGAAAUGCGUAGAUAUCAAGAGGAACACCUGAGGUGAAGACGGGUUGCUGGGCUGAUACUGACGCUAAGGCUCGAAAGCGUGGGGAGCGAACAGG
Molecule: ribosomal RNA, 253 nt
Filed under: uncultured bacterium
Lineage: Bacteria
Description: partial 16S ribosomal RNA
Rfam family: Bacterial small subunit ribosomal RNA
Source: RNAcentral